This 133-nucleotide small nucleolar RNA is filed under the name Castor canadensis (American beaver). Its description in RNAcentral is "Small nucleolar RNA SNORA51 (ENSCCNG00000013266.1)". It matches the Rfam family "Small nucleolar RNA SNORA51". Rfam says of the family: ACA51 is a member of the H/ACA class of snoRNA that guide the sites of modification of uridines to pseudouridines. The record is from Rfam by way of RNAcentral. Lineage: Eukaryota; Metazoa; Chordata; Mammalia; Rodentia; Castoridae.
GGCCUCCUGGUGCUUACCACAGGCUGUAUUCUUACACUGACUGUACAAUAAAGAGGAAGGAAAGUAAACCUACCCCAUAUACACUUCAAUCCAGACCCUAUCCCUGGUCUGUAUUGUGAAUGGGAAGACAUGG